AAAACUUUGUAUGAACAUAAAUUCAAUUACUAAGAAAUAAACUGAACAACGUUUCACAGACAUGUGACUAACAGAAAUGGAAAAAUGUGUCCCUGAACAAAGGAUGGUCAAAAUCAAAAGUCACAUUCAGUAUCUGGUGUGGCCACCAGCUGCAUUGCGUACUCAGUGCAUCUCCUCCUCAUGGACUGCACCAGGUUUGACAGUUCUUGUUGUGAGAUCUUACCCCACUCUUCCACUAAGGCACCUGCAAGUUCCUGAACAUUUCUGUGGUGCAUGGUUCUCGCCCUUAGCCUCCGAUCCAAGAGGUCCCAGACGUGCUCAAUGGGAUUGAGAUCCGAGCCCUUCGCUGGCCAUGGCAGAACACUAACUUUCCUGUCUUGGAGGAAAUCCUGCACAGAACGAGCGGUAUGGCUGGUGGCAUUAUCACACUGGAGGGUCAUGUCAGGAUGAGCCUGCAGGAAGGGUACCACAUGAGGGAGGAGGAGGUCUUCCCUGCAAUGUUCUGCAACUUUUAAAUAACCCAUUAUGGGUUAUUUAUAUGGAAGUUGGGUUAUUUUGUGCAACUCAUGCGUUGAGUCAAAAUCCAUCAACCCAACAUACGGUUGACCCAGCACUUGGGUUGUUUGUGCUUCGAACGUCAUCAGAUCAUCACCAGAGUCCACACACUGAGCACUUGUCACAGCAGAGAACCAGUCUGGUCAUCCAACGAGGCAAAUAAAUAAUAUAAGAAUGUACCAUAUCAGACGAACGUGGGUCACAGCUUAAAGAAUGUUUGAGAAAUAAUUCUCAGCCCCUCAGCCAGAUAGAGACCUACAUGCGGAACACGGCAGUCUACAGGGCCAAGUGGAUUAGGGACAACAAUUGGACCAUCGAUCAGAUCCUCGAAGAGUUCCCUCACCUAAUGACCAAAGGCAUGAUUGCACAGGCUUGUCCUGCAUGGGGAUGCUGCAUCAAAGUUGUUUGAAACUUGGUCACGUGAAAUGCCAGGAGGGGAGUCUAAAAUGGUAAAGUUUAUUCAAAGUAGAAUACUUGCUUGCAAGUAGAGCUAAUGGCUCUUAAUAGCAGCUUUUUAAUAGGAAUUUGAAUUUGUUCACUAUAGACCUGUUGAAUGUUCAUCCAGUUCAUUCGUAAUUGUUGUUUUGCUCUGAAUAUUUUCCUACCUGAGUGAUAUGAACUGCACCAGUUCCACUAUAUUGUUG
Molecule: long non-coding RNA, 1199 nt
Organism: Perca flavescens (yellow perch)
Lineage: Eukaryota; Metazoa; Chordata; Actinopteri; Perciformes; Percidae
Exons: 3
Source: RefSeq, a predicted model, not a curated record